Molecule: long non-coding RNA, 719 nt
Filed under: Mus spicilegus (steppe mouse)
Lineage: Eukaryota; Metazoa; Chordata; Mammalia; Rodentia; Muridae
Description: lncRNA (ENSMSIG00000007431.1)
Source: RNAcentral
UGUUGAUUUAUGAUAGAACUAUCAGUGGAGUACAACUCUAUAAUCACUGAUAUGAACCUGAAUACAAAGGUCAUGAAGUGGGGGCCCAAUAAUGCAGAAGAAGGAAAUCCUCUUCUAGCUGGUCCUGCAGGAUUUAUCACAGCACCUCUAUGGUCCUCUCUUGCCUGUUAAGUCUCUCUAUAAAGGGCACUCUAUAAAGGGUGAAUGGAAGAGUGAGUGGUCUGGCCUCACUGUAGCACCCUCUGUAACAUGAGGAGUCCAGGAGCCAGUGGAAAGUUGAAGCUAAUCUGGUGUGAACCAAUGUGGCUAUAUCUUCUGCAGGUAGAGGUCAGUGAGCCACUCUGUUUAUUUUCUUGCAGAAGCCAUAGAAGUCCAGCAGUGGGAAUUGAGAAAAUCAUCGAACACUGUUGCUCCUGAGUAUGAAUCAAUGGAGAGUAUAUUCCCCAAAGUCUUUUGUGAAACCCCUGCAGUGGGGUCAGGUUUUCCUUUAUUGAGAAUGGUCGAUGUAUUAUUUUUAGCGCCACCAACAUCUUCCUAUGAAGAAGAUUAUUAUCCACCCAUAAAAAGAAAGAAGAGGAAAAAGAGGAGGCGCUACUACUAAUUAAAAGCCUCCAUUAUUACUCCAGUAAGUACACCACACUCAGACUCUUCAGGAACUUGAAAAGCAUUGAAAUGGGUUAGGGGGAGUGCACAGAGAAACAGAAACAGAGGCAGACGUU